Brassica napus (rape) is the source of this 1962-nucleotide long non-coding RNA. RefSeq lists it as uncharacterized. Lineage: Eukaryota; Viridiplantae; Streptophyta; Magnoliopsida; Brassicales; Brassicaceae. The transcript is spliced from 2 exons. The record is from RefSeq and is a predicted model, not a curated record.
CUAUAUGUAGAAAUUUCUAUUUUAGAGAAAUAUAUUGGAGUAAGACCCAUCUCUAUUAUAGAGUUCUUCUAUUUUAGAAGUAAAAAUAUAAAUAUAUAUUGGAGAUGGUAUAACAACCUACAGAACUGACUCGCUCUGCUUAAACCCAAAAGAUUAAACAUACAUUAAGUCCAAAUUCGGAUAGGUUCACAAAAAGUAAUAACAUAAUGUCUUCUUGGCUAAAAGACUUUGUUCAUAAUAAUUAUUUUCAGACUAUCAAAUUAAAUUUCACCGUAUUUAAUUAACAUAAAAUUAUGAAUUAGAUGAUUAGUCAAGUCCAAUCAAUAAGAACAAUCCAAGAAUAUAGCACUAAUACACUUGUUUGCGAUAGAAGACUCCAAAAAGUUUCAAUAACAACAAAACAUUAUGUCAAAAGUUAGUAAGCAUAGAUAGAAAACUCUACAAAAACCUCAAAAUAACUAAACACCAUGUUUAAAACCAGAGUACAUCAGUAGUACACUAGUAAAAAUUUUCCGCAUAGCCACGGUAGUGCCAGUGUAAAAUCGUGGCUUAUUUGAAAAAGUCAUUGUUUAACCACGAUUAGCCACGGUUAGCCACAAUUUUUUAAAAAGCCACGAUUAUUCUUUUCUAGCCACGAAUCAGUCACUAAAUAAUCAUGGUUAUUUUAGUAGCCACGAUUUAGCUACGAAAUAACAGUGGCUAAUCGUUAGCCACGACUCAGCCACUUUAUUUUUGUGGCUAUUUAGUUUUUAUAUACCCUAAACCCUAAACUUCAAAAUUAAAUUAUAUAUUCUAGAUACUAAAACCAAAAUACAAAUAUAACAUUUUUUCAAACUUUAAAUAUAAAUGUUAAAUUUAAAUUCUAAAUAUAAAUUUCUUUAAAAUCCAUUAUAAAUCUUAAACCUAAACCCUUAUAAUCUUAAACUUCACAUACAAAAACCAUAAAUCUAAUGUUUUCAAACCACAAACCUUAUAUCAUACAUUAAAUCACAAAUAUUUAAAUCUAAUUAAACCCAAAAUUUAUAUAUUUCAAACUCUAAAAAUAUUUAUACUUUCAAUUAUUUAAUCUUAACAUUUACAUUUAAUACUAACAAGUAUACUCAAAUCCUAUUUCUCAAACUAUAAACUCUAUAUUGUAAACAUAUAUCAUUAAACCAUGAAGCAUUAUAUCUUAAAUUCAAAAUAUUGAAAUUUAAAUUGAAAAUCUUAUCAAUUUUCUUUAGGUUAUGCACUAUAAUCAUUAGCUAACAACUAAAUAAUAAAAAGAAAAGAAAUACUGAAAUCUAAUGCUAAUUCCUAAACUAACUUCUCAUUGGUCAAAAGAAGAAAGGAACGGAUUACCCCCUGUUAGAUCACAACCAUUCAUAAAGAUCUAUCGAACGGCUACAACUACACACGCUUUUUAUUUUUAUUUUUAAUUUAUUUUCUUCUUCCUUCUCUUCUCUCAUCUCUGAUUGAUUUUUAGAUCUAAGUUUCGUUUUCACACAGAUCUCUCUACCGCUCACACAUCUCUCCAUCUCUGCUCACAGAAGAAACAUCAAUGCCUCUACUCACAUAUCUAUGUUUGUCUCUUAUCAGUUGUGUAUGUAUUUGAUUUUGUUUUGAUAGAUGACAGAGACGGAGGUGGACUGCGACGGUAACGAAGAUGGAGAGACAUAGAGGGCUGAGGAAGAAGCGGAGAUUUUUAAACUAGGAAGAAGAAGAAGAAGGAGAGAAGACAAAGGAAGAAGAAGAAAAGCCAAGAUGAAGCUUCGCUGGCUCCUUCCAGAGCCAAUAUUGAAGAAGAUGAAGGUGGUGAGGUGGUGCGUGUAUCACCGGCGACACGGGGGUAGGCUAUCACCGGAGGAAUGUUGCGCGUGGUUCAUGGCCUGGUGCGCGUGGUGCUGUGCGAGGAUAUACAUAUAUAAUAAACAUGUAAUUUAUAAGAUUUUAUAUUUUAUUAAUAAAUUAUUUUAUUUUUUA